UUCUAGAAAAUUUGUCUAAAAACCUAGAUCAUCUUUACACCCAGCACACCUUGACUUUGCAGGAACUUCAAAACAUCAGUCUACAUGUGGACAAAGUGCAUGACCUUGUGAAUUUCCAGAUAAAACUUUUUCAGAAAAAAUCUGAAAAGACAGAAACAGAAAAGGCAGAUGUGUCAGUGGCUUUAGAAUUAAAGGCAGCUGAUGAAGAGGUGAAACCUGAAUGCUUAGUGGAAAAAGGAUAUCUUUGGCAAGCACAGGCCAUGCUGCAAAAGAUACAAGAAUCUUUGGAUAAACGAGAGAAAGAAAUCACCGAGCUUCUACAAAGUGAGAGAAGAUAUAACAAAGCAAUGAAACCUCAAAUCACAGUGCUAAUAUUCUUGAAAACUCUUGUCCAGAGGGUUCACAACAUAUACCGUGAUGUCCCUGAGGCUCAGCAGUACAUCAGUCAGCAUAUCAGGAAGAACAAGGAUGAAAGGGCURAUUGGAAAGAAGCCUUUAAUAAUGCACAGGCUGACAUUCUCUCCUAUGAAGUAUUUUAUGGAAAUGAACCUAUGGAUGAGAAAAGGACAAAGCUCUUGAUGAAGCUUUUCAGAAAUCUUGGGAGAGCAAAGUCUGAAUUAGAAUAUGUUGAAACAGAGAAGAUUGUGUUUG
RNAcentral lists this long non-coding RNA (651 nucleotides) under Apteryx rowi (Okarito brown kiwi). RNAcentral describes it as "lncRNA (ENSARWG00000000912.1)". Lineage: Eukaryota; Metazoa; Chordata; Aves; Apterygiformes; Apterygidae. The record is from RNAcentral.